This 525-nucleotide ribosomal RNA is filed under the name uncultured microeukaryote. Its description in RNAcentral is "bacterial SSU rRNA". It matches the Rfam family "Eukaryotic small subunit ribosomal RNA", at positions 26 to 549 of the family's 1831-position model. The record is from RNAcentral.
UGGAAUAUGCUUGUUUCAAAGAUUAAGCCAUGCAUGUCUGAGCAUGCGCUGAAGUAAAGUGAAGCCGCGAAUAGCUCAUUACAACAGCCGUUGUUUCUUGGAUCUCUUCUCUACUUGGAUAACUGUGGUAAUUCUAGAGCUAAUACAUGCAAUCAAGCCCUGAUCGUGAGUGACGGGCGCAUUUAUUAGAACAAGACCAUCUGGCUUCGGCCAUCAAAUGGUGACUCUGAAUAACUGAGCCGAUCGCACGGGCUCGUCCCGGCGACGUAUCUUUCAAGUGUCUGCCUUAUCAGGUUUCGUUGGCGGUUUAUGUGACCGCCAAGCCUGUAACGGGUAACGGAGGAUCAGGGUCUGACUCCGGAGAGGGAGCCUGAGAAACGGCUACCACUUCUAAGGAAGGCAGCAGGCGCGCAAAUUACCCAUUCUUGGCUCGAAGGAGGUAGUGACGAAAAAUACCGAGGUGAGGCUCAUUGAGCUUCACCGAUUGGAAUGAGAACGAUCUAAAUCCUUUAACGAGGAUCUAGU